GGGAGUUUGGCUGGGGCGG
RNAcentral lists this small RNA (19 nucleotides) under Arabidopsis thaliana (thale cress). RNAcentral describes it as "Ath_wt_19678". The record is from RNAcentral. Lineage: Eukaryota; Viridiplantae; Streptophyta; Magnoliopsida; Brassicales; Brassicaceae.